This 402-nucleotide ribosomal RNA is filed under the name uncultured bacterium. Its description in RNAcentral is "bacterial SSU rRNA". It matches the Rfam family "Bacterial small subunit ribosomal RNA", at positions 355 to 776 of the family's 1533-position model. The record is from RNAcentral.
UUAGGAAUCUUCCACAAUGGGCGAAAGCCUGAUGGAGCGACACCGCGUGAAGGAUGAAGGCCUUAGGGUCGUAAACUUCUAAAAGAGGGACGAUAAUGACGGUACCUCUUGAGAAGCACCGGCUAACUCCGUGCCAGCAGCCGCGGUAAUACGGAGGGUGCAAGCGUUAUCCGGAAUCACUGGGCGUAAAGGGCGCGUAGGUGGUCUGUUAAGUCUGGCGUUAAAGCCUGGGGCUCAACCCCAGAUCAGCGUUGGAUACUGGCAGGCUAGACGGUUGGAGAGGCGAGUAGAAUUACCAGUGUAGCGGUGGAAUGCGUAGAUACUGGUAGGAAUACCCAUUGCGAAGGCAGCUCGCUGGACAACACGUGACACUGAGGCGCGAAAGUGUGGGGAGCAAACCGG